UUUAACUGAAGAGUUUGAUCAUGGCUCAGAUUGAACGCUGGCGGCAGGCUUAACACAUGCAAGUCGAGCGGGGGAAGGUAGCUUGCUACUGGACCUAGCGGCGGACGGGUGAGUAAUGCUUAGGAAUCUGCCUAUUAGUGGGGGACAACAUCUCGAAAGGGAUGCUAAUACCGCAUACGUCCUACGGGAGAAAGCAGGGGAUCUUCGGACCUUGCGCUAAUAGAUGAGCCUAAGUCGGAUUAGCUAGUUGGUGGGGUAAAGGCCUACCAAGGCGACGAUCUGUAGCGGGUCUGAGAGGAUGAUCCGCCACACUGGGACUGAGAC
RNAcentral lists this ribosomal RNA (324 nucleotides) under Acinetobacter baumannii. RNAcentral's name for it is "bacterial SSU rRNA". It matches the Rfam family "Bacterial small subunit ribosomal RNA", at positions 1 to 325 of the family's 1533-position model. Lineage: Bacteria; Pseudomonadati; Pseudomonadota; Gammaproteobacteria; Moraxellales; Moraxellaceae. The record is from RNAcentral.